Molecule: ribosomal RNA, 104 nt
Filed under: human gut metagenome
Source: RNAcentral
GUUACUAUAGCAAAGAGGAUACACCUGUUUCCAUUCCGAACACAGAAGUUAAGCUCUUUAGCGCUGAUGGUACUUGGGGGGCAACCUCCUGGGAGAGUAAGACG